This 250-nucleotide ribosomal RNA is filed under the name uncultured bacterium. RNAcentral's name for it is "partial 16S ribosomal RNA". It matches the Rfam family "Bacterial small subunit ribosomal RNA", at positions 524 to 776 of the family's 1533-position model. The record is from RNAcentral.
UACGUAGGGGGCAAGCGUUGUCCGGAUUCAUUGGGCGUAAAGAGCGUGUAGGCGGCCAGGUAGGUCGGUUGUGAAAACUGGAGGCUCAACCUUCAGAGGUCGACCGAAACCAUCUGGCUAGAGUCCGGGAGAGGAGAGUGGAAUUCCUGGUGUAGCGGUGAAAUGCGCAGAUAUCAGGAAGACCAGUGGCGAAGGCGGGUCUCUGGACAGUUCCUGACACUGAGGCGCGAAAGCCAGGGGAGCAAACGGG